This 253-nucleotide ribosomal RNA is filed under the name uncultured bacterium. Its description in RNAcentral is "partial 16S ribosomal RNA". It matches the Rfam family "Bacterial small subunit ribosomal RNA", at positions 524 to 776 of the family's 1533-position model. The record is from RNAcentral.
UACGUAGGCAGCGAGCGUUGUUCGGAAUUACUGGGCGUAAAGAGUGUGUAGGCGGUGCUCUAAGUUCGGUGUGAAAUCUCCUGGCUCAACUGGGAGGGUGCGCCGGAAACUGGAGUGCUUGAGCGUGGGAGAGGAAAGCGGAAUUCCUGGUGUAGCGGUGAAAUGCGUAGAUAUCAGGAGGAACACCGGUGGCGAAGGCGGGUCUCUGGGCCGAUACUGACGCUGAGGAGCGAAAGCGUGGGGAGCGAACAGG